RNAcentral lists this ribosomal RNA (603 nucleotides) under uncultured bacterium. Its description in RNAcentral is "bacterial SSU rRNA". It matches the Rfam family "Bacterial small subunit ribosomal RNA", at positions 60 to 676 of the family's 1533-position model. The record is from RNAcentral.
AGUCGAACGAGAGAGAAGGAGCUUGCUUCUUCGAUCGAGUGGCGAACGGGUGAGUAACGCGUGAGGAACCUGCCUCAAAGAGGGGGACAACAGUUGGAAACGACUGCUAAUACCGCAUAAGCCCACGGAUCGGCAUCGAUCUGAGGGAAAAGGAGCAAUCCGCUUUGAGAUGGCCUCGCGUCCGAUUAGCUAGUUGGUGAGGUAACGGCCCACCAAGGCGACGAUCGGUAGCCGGACUGAGAGGUUGAACGGCCACAUUGGGACUGAGACACGGCCCAGACUCCUACGGGAGGCAGCAGUGGGGAAUAUUGCACAAUGGGGGAAACCCUGAUGCAGCGACGCCGCGUGGAGGAAGAAGGUCUUCGGAUUGUAAACUCCUGUUGUUGAGGAAGAUAAUGACGGUACUCAACAAGGAAGUGACGGCUAACUACGUGCCAGCAGCCGCGGUAAAACGUAGGUCACAAGCGUUGUCCGGAAUUACUGGGUGUAAAGGGAGCGCAGGCGGGAAGACAAGUUGGAAGUGAAAUCUAUGGGCUCAACCCAUAAACUGCUUUCAAAACUGUUUUUCUUGAGUAGUGCAGAGGUAGGCGGAAUUCCCGGUGU